UACGUAGGGUGCGAGCGUUGUCCGGAAUUACUGGGCGUAAAGAGCUCGUAGGUGGUUUGUCGCGUUGUUCGUGAAAACUCACAACUCAAUUGUGGGCGUGCGGGCGAUACGGGCAGACUGGAGUACUGCAGGGGAGACUGGAAUUCCAGGUGUAGCGGUGAAAUGCGUAGAUAUCUGGAGGAACACCGGUGGCGAAGGCGGCAUCCUGGACCGGUAUUGACGCUGAGGCGCGAAAGCCAGGGGAGCAAACGGG
This 253-nucleotide ribosomal RNA is filed under the name uncultured bacterium. Its description in RNAcentral is "partial 16S ribosomal RNA". It matches the Rfam family "Bacterial small subunit ribosomal RNA", at positions 524 to 776 of the family's 1533-position model. The record is from RNAcentral.